GCUGGCAACUCCAUUCAGUCAGGCCAUGUCGUCACUUGCGAGGAAGCUCGAAGACUUUCGACAGAGCCGCGGUUUUGGCACUUGAGCAGUCACGCAGGGUCUCCGGCAAAGGCUUCCCAAACGACUCCGGCAGCAGGAGAGAGAUGAAGGCUCCGCAAAUGGCCAAAGCUCCCAUCAGGAUAUGACAAAGGGCGAGCGAGAUGAUGGACGUUGGACGUACCGAGGUAGAUGAUGAAGGGCGAGAUGAUGGUCCCUACUCGAGCCGCCAUGGAGCAGCAGCCCAUGGCCGUGUUCCUGAUGACGGUGGGGAAGAGCUCGGACGUGACGGCGUACACGAUGCAGAAGGCCGCCGUCACGCCGAAUUUGCCCAGCAUCUCCAGCAGCACGGCCACCCACGGAAGAUCUGAGCCACGCGAGCGUCUCGUCAGCAAUGAUGGUUGAAUUUGCUAAAAGUGGUGCGUACGGAAGACUCGCGUUACCUAUGGGAAUGAGGUGCACGCACAGGAUCAUGACUCCGCCCAUCAUUAGCGUGGUCGACUGGCACAGGCGGCGGUAGCAAAAGUGCAGCAGCAACAGAGCGAUCAGGUAGGCGGGAACUUCCGUCACCGCCGACAGGAAGGCGUUGAGGUACGGGUCUCCGUGAAGGUUGGACGUGUUGAGGAUCAACGCGUAGUAGCUGAUGGUGAUGACGAACCUGCGCGAGUCGUGUAUGUCCGACCGAGUCAAUCUUUUCUCAUCUUGUGAUUUUGUGGUGAUUUGCGACCGACUGGAAAUGUGCUUUGACUUACCACAGAAUUGAACACAACAGGUUGAUGGUGAAAAUGUUGCAGUUGCGCAAGAUGGAGCCAAUGUUGUAUUUCUUGUCUUUCAACAGCAUUGCAUUCUCAAUCUGGAACAGAAACUCAAUCCCUUUGCGAUUGUUUUUACAAUCAAAGUACAGAAAUUUGCCAUACGCGGCUCCAAUUUAAGGCUCGUGCUAAAACCACCUUUCCACGUUUUGAGACUCUUACCUCAGCCUCUGUGAAAAUGGCCUUGGGCGGGGCAAUUUUAUUCAUCCUGGCAGCGUCCAUCAGGAUGCUCUCGGCCUCCGCCACUCGGCCCUGGGACAGCAGCCAGCGUGGCGACUCGGGGGGAUGUAGAUCAGUCCACAGGCGGCCAUGGGGAUCAGCAGCAUCCGCCAGGAGCGCAGGAAGUAUGCCACGGGUGGCAUGAGCAUGUAGCCUAUGGCCGAGCUCAUGAAAACUCCCAGGGAGCAGAAGACCAC
Molecule: long non-coding RNA, 1264 nt
Organism: Syngnathus typhle (broad-nosed pipefish)
Lineage: Eukaryota; Metazoa; Chordata; Actinopteri; Syngnathiformes; Syngnathidae
Exons: 4
Source: RefSeq, a predicted model, not a curated record